GAGUUUGAUUAUGGCUCAGGAUGAACGCUGGCGGCGUGCCUAACACAUGCAAGUCGAACGGAGAACUUAAGUGGAAGUUUUCGGAUGGAAACUUUUGUUCUUAGUGGCGGACGGGUGAGUAACGCGUGGGCAACCUGCCUCAUACAGGGGGACAACAGACGGAAACGUCUGCUAAGACCGCAUACGUCUUUUUGGUCGCAUGACUGAGAAGGGAAAAGAGCAAUCUGGUAUGAGAUGGGCCCGCGUCUGAUUAGCUAGUUGGUAAGGUAACGGCUUACCAAGGCGACGAUCAGUAGCCGGACUGAGAGGUCGGACGGCCACAUUGGGACUGAGACACGGCCCAAACUCCUACGGGAGGCAGCAGUGGGGGAUAUUGCACAAUGGAGGAAACUCUGAUGCAGCGACGCCGCGUGAGUGAAGAAGUAUUUCGGUAUGUAAAGCUCUAUCAGCAGGGA
Molecule: ribosomal RNA, 455 nt
Filed under: Catonella sp. canine oral taxon 158
Lineage: Bacteria; Bacillati; Bacillota; Clostridia; Lachnospirales; Lachnospiraceae
Description: bacterial SSU rRNA
Rfam family: Bacterial small subunit ribosomal RNA
Source: RNAcentral